This 406-nucleotide ribosomal RNA is filed under the name uncultured bacterium. Its description in RNAcentral is "partial 16S ribosomal RNA". It matches the Rfam family "Bacterial small subunit ribosomal RNA", at positions 30 to 526 of the family's 1533-position model. The record is from RNAcentral.
AUUGAACGCUGGCGGCAGGCCUAACACAUGCAAGUCGAACGAGUGGCGGACGGGUGAGUAAUGUCUGGGAAACUGCCCGAUGGAGGGGGAUAACUACUGGAAACGGUAGCUAAUACCGCAUACCAUCGGAUGUGCCCAGAUGGGAUUAGCUUGUAGGUGAGGUAACGGCUCACCUAGGCGACGAUCCCUAGCUGGUCUGAUAGGAGGACCAGCCACAUUGGACUGGAGACACGGUCCAGACUCCGACGGGAGGCAGCAGUGGGGAAUAUUGCACAAUGGGCGCAAGCCUGAUGCAGCCAUGCCGCGUGUAUGAAGAAGGCCGUCGGGUUGUAAAGUACUUUCAGCGGGGAGGCGUUACCCGCAGAAGAAGCACCGGCUAACUCCGUGCCAGCCGCCGCGGUAAUAC